This 70-nucleotide transfer RNA is filed under the name Protohermes infectus. RNAcentral's name for it is "tRNA-Lys". Lineage: Eukaryota; Metazoa; Arthropoda; Insecta; Megaloptera; Corydalidae. The record is from RNAcentral.
CAUUAGAUGACUGAAAGUAAGUAUUGGUCUCUUAAACCACAUAAUAGUAAAUUAACAAUUACUUCUAAUG